AGGGGAGAGCCAAAUCCUGGGCUGUGUCCCCUGGCCCUGGGUUCCAGGGCCUGCACCUCUGGAAUUGCGCUCCCAGGGCUGCACAGCCCCCU
Molecule: microRNA precursor, 92 nt
Filed under: Canis lupus familiaris (dog)
Lineage: Eukaryota; Metazoa; Chordata; Mammalia; Carnivora; Canidae
Also listed under: 1 other name
Description: mir-8799 microRNA precursor family
Rfam family: mir-8799 microRNA precursor family
Source: Rfam by way of RNAcentral